Molecule: ribosomal RNA, 254 nt
Filed under: uncultured bacterium
Lineage: Bacteria
Description: partial 16S ribosomal RNA
Rfam family: Bacterial small subunit ribosomal RNA
Source: RNAcentral
GACGAACCGUGCAAACGUUAUUCGGAAUCACUGGGCUUAAAGCGCGUGUAGGCGGGACGGCACGUCGGUCGUUGAAAUCCCCCGGCUCAACCGGGGAAGGGGCGCCGAUACGACCGUCCUGGAGGGGCGUAGGGGGACCUGGAACUUCCGGUGGAGCGGUGAAAUGCGUUGAGAUCGGAAGGAACGCCCGUGGCGAAAGCGAGGUCCUGGACGUUUUCUGACGCUGAGACGCGAAAGCCAGGGGAGCAAACGGG